Trichosurus vulpecula (common brushtail) is the source of this 107-nucleotide small nuclear RNA. NCBI's taxonomy places the organism in Eukaryota, Metazoa, Chordata, Mammalia, Diprotodontia, Phalangeridae. The record is from RefSeq and is a predicted model, not a curated record.
GUGCUCACUUUGGCAGCACAUAUGAUAAAAUUGGACCAGUGUAGAGAAGAUUAGCAUGGCCCCUGUGCAAGGAUGACAUUCACAUUCAUGAAGUAUUCUAUUAUAAA